Dreissena polymorpha is the source of this 512-nucleotide long non-coding RNA. RefSeq lists it as uncharacterized. Lineage: Eukaryota; Metazoa; Mollusca; Bivalvia; Myida; Dreissenidae. The record is from RefSeq and is a predicted model, not a curated record. The transcript is spliced from 2 exons.
AAUCCUAUCCGAAAAUGUACUGCGAGUCGAAAAGCACGCGACCGAGCAUAAGCGGCCAGCGUUUGUCAGUUGUAAAUAUUGAUUUACGACGAUGUAAGCGACCUACAGUAUAGAGUGCACUGAAAUCACGGAAGCGUGAAAGUGUUACAGUCGGUGUUUUUACUGCUAUUGUCAAGUUUUAUGGGGGUUAUUAUCUGAUUAACGGUUCUUUUAUGAUAAAGAACACUCAAUUAUGUAACACUUAGGACAAACUUGCACAAAGAUCAAUGAUUAUAUCGAUAUAUAAGGCGGCUACUCUUUAAUCAAUACCAUGAACACCAGACUGCUGCUGAGGCGAUGCAGCUUCGGAAGGAUAUGGCGGCUGCCAGCAAAUCAUCAAUCUCAAAGAAUGAGGCAGCAGUGAAGGCAGCACGCGCAAAUGUGCUGUUCCUGGCAAAGAAGAUGGUUAUAUGUGAUUGUUUAUCAUGUGCAAACCAAUGUUUUUAUGUAUAAAUAAAGUUUAUUAAGACUUA